UACGGAGGGUGCAAGCAUUAAUCGGAUUUAUUGGGCGUAAAGGGCGCGUAGGCGGUAUGAUAAGUCAGAUGUGAAAUCCCGGGGCUCAACCCCGGAACAGCAUUUGAAACUAUCAUUCUAGAGGGUAGGUGGAGAAAACGGAAUUCCACAAGUAGCGGUGAAAUGCGUAGAUAUGUGGAAGAACACCGGUGGCGAAGGCGGUUUUCUAGCUUAUUCCUGACGCUAAGGCGCGAAAGCAAGGGGAUCAAACAGG
Molecule: ribosomal RNA, 253 nt
Filed under: uncultured bacterium
Lineage: Bacteria
Description: partial 16S ribosomal RNA
Rfam family: Bacterial small subunit ribosomal RNA
Source: RNAcentral